This 477-nucleotide long non-coding RNA is filed under the name Mus spretus (western wild mouse). Its description in RNAcentral is "predicted gene 829 (ENSMSPG00010009538.1)". Lineage: Eukaryota; Metazoa; Chordata; Mammalia; Rodentia; Muridae. The record is from RNAcentral.
GGAAGUCUUGUCCUAACAGGGCAGGUCAUAUUGUCUUGUUUUUACUUUUAUUGGAGGAAUAAAUUUUAUAAUUGAGAGCCGUGCUAAACUCUCUACCAGUGGAGCUACAUCCCCAGUGCCUAGGUCAAUUUUUUUUCCAGGAAAUAAUGGAUGUGACAUGACUUUGGAAGACAAUUUACAGUGUGAGAAGCAUGGACUCCUUCUGAGUGGUGAAGGCUAUCCAUUGCUGCAUUGAAAGGAACCUGGACAAAUGGCUGGAACUUCUCUGCCAGAAGUUGCUUCCUCUCCUUUGCUGCUGGGCAGUCAUGGAGGCUUCUUGCCCUGACUGAGCUGUCCUCAGCCAUUGCCACGUGCCAGCCACCACCUGUCCUCGCUUGAGUGAGGAGCAGGUGUAGCUCUCUUGGUUCUUCUCAUUGGGCCUAUGAGAGGAUUAAUUAGUUGGGCCUGGGGACUCUGGAUUUGUUGUACAGCCGAGUG